GACGAACGCUGGCGGCGUGCUUAACACAUGCAAGUCGAACGGAAAGGCCCUGCUUUUGUGGGGUGCUCGAGUGGCGAACGGGUGAGUAACACGUGAGUAACCUGCCCUUGACUUUGGGAUAACUUCAGGAAACUGGGGCUAAUACCGGAUAGGAGCUCCUGCUGCAUGGUGGGGGUUGGAAAGGUUCGGCGGUUGGGGAUGGACUCGCGGCUUGUCAGCUUGUUGGUGGGGUAGUGGCUUACCAAGGCUUUGACGGGUAGCCGGCCUGAGAGGGUGACCGGCCACAUUGGGACUGAGAUACGGCCCAGACUCCUACGGGAGGCAGCAGUGGGGAAUAUUGCACAAUGGGCGGAAGCCUGAUGCAGCAACGCCGCGUGCGGGAUGACGGCCUUCGGGUUGUAAACCGCUUUCGACUGUGACGAAGCGUGAGUGACGGUAAUGGGUAAAGAAGCACCGGCUAACUACGUG
This 468-nucleotide ribosomal RNA is filed under the name uncultured bacterium. Its description in RNAcentral is "partial 16S ribosomal RNA". It matches the Rfam family "Bacterial small subunit ribosomal RNA", at positions 28 to 507 of the family's 1533-position model. The record is from RNAcentral.